GUUGGUCACCUUAUCUGUGCUGUGGAUAAUAAUAGGAUAGAAAUCACUGCCCCGGGCGCCUGAGUGUGACCUGCUUAUCUCUGGACAGCAGCUGUUUAAUUGAAAUGAUGGUGAAGUAUUUUUGUCUCGGCAACGCUGGCUCUCACCACCCAACCAGAAGGUACAGGGAGAGUCUCCUUCCGUCCUGUCUCCUCCCAGAGGCCCUGUGGGUGCCUGGUGCCUUACAGCCACCACGACAGACUUCAGACUUCCGACGCUUUUGUCUCUUCCUUGCGUACAGUCCCUGGAAAUUCCUCUACCUCACCCCACGCGGGGGGUGGGAGAUCAUUGAUUGAAGCAGGUGUUACUCACGGUAGCCGAAAGGUGCAGACAACCCCAGUGCCCAUCGACGGACGAGUGGACAAACAAAACGUCUGUCCGCACGCUGGAGUGUUGUUCAGCCUUCAGAAGGAAGGAAACGGACACCUGCUCCAGCGUGGACGGACCUCAGCAAGACUGGCGGUCAAUGGGACAAACACUGCAGUCACCGCGUUCAGAGGCAGAAAGGAGGACGUGGUUUCCAGGGCCUGGGGGCCGGGGCGGGUGUUCCCUGGGGACAGAGCUUCCGUCUUGCAAGAUGGACAGCGUUCUGGGGACAGCCGGUGGUGAUGGUUUGCACAAUAAUGUGUUAAAAGGUAAACCGAGGCACAUUACAGUUAUUUUUUCAAGGGUUCAUCUGAGCAGACCUUGAUUGGGCAGACGCGGUUAGGAACCUCCCCAGGAGCGAGAGACGGGUUUCAGAGGCGACGAAGCCAGGAGAUGAUCUCAUCGGCCAUGUGUGAGCGGCUGGCUCGUUCGGGAAGGCCGCCCGGCUGUUCACAGGUCCCAUUUCCUCUUUGGGGCAUCAGAGCCACGCCAUCCAGCCGCCGCCUCAGGUGUGCCAACACUCGACCGUGGACACACCCGGCUUUUGCCGCGCCUCCCGUCCCAGCCCUGCCUGUGCUGGGUGAGGUCCCGCACGCCACGUGCCUUCCCCGGGACCCACAGGAUGGAGUCACUAUUGUGCCUACAGGUGGUUGUUUUUUUCUUUCUUCAUGA
This 1077-nucleotide long non-coding RNA is filed under the name Ursus americanus (American black bear). RNAcentral's name for it is "lncRNA (ENSUAMG00000014006.1)". Lineage: Eukaryota; Metazoa; Chordata; Mammalia; Carnivora; Ursidae. The record is from RNAcentral.